CGUAGGGUGCGAGCGUUAAUCGGAAUUACUGGGCGUAAAGCGUGCGCAGGCGGUUAUAUAAGACAGAUGUGAAAUCCCCGGGCUCAACCUGGGAACUGCAUUUGUGACUGUAUAGCUAGAGUACGGCAGAGGGGGAUGGAAUUCCGCGUGUAGCAGUGAAAUGCGUAGAUAUGCGGAGGAACACCGAUGGCGAAGGCAAUCCCCUGGGCCUGUACUGACGCUCAUGCACGAAAGCGUGGGGAGCAAACAGGAUUAGAUACCCUGGUAGUCCACGCCCUAAACGAUGUCAACUGGUUGUUGGGUCUUCACUGACUCAGUACGAAGCUAACGCGUGAAGUUGACCGCCUGGGGAGUACGGCCGCAAGGUUG
This 369-nucleotide ribosomal RNA is filed under the name uncultured organism. RNAcentral's name for it is "bacterial SSU rRNA". It matches the Rfam family "Bacterial small subunit ribosomal RNA", at positions 526 to 896 of the family's 1533-position model. The record is from RNAcentral.